Long non-coding RNA from Passer domesticus (house sparrow), 597 nucleotides. RefSeq lists it as uncharacterized. The transcript has 4 exons. The record is from RefSeq and is a predicted model, not a curated record. Lineage: Eukaryota; Metazoa; Chordata; Aves; Passeriformes; Passeridae.
GUCCCGUGCUGAGUGUUGACCUGGGAGUCAUGAAUCCACAACUUCCAUUUCUACCUCUUCCACAGUGACAAGGAGAGGCAGCUUUAAUGAUGUAUGGUCCUACUGCUGCGGCUAAAAUCUAAAUUCCUGGAAUAUUCCCUCCAGAUAAUCUCUGAAGUUCCUGCAUUUGCCUCUGGCUGUGGCUGAAGAAGCUGAAACCAUGAAAACCAGUCCUUUAGUUCCUGCAAAACUGACCAUGAGCUUAUGCAUCUCUGUGAGCAUCAGCUCUGGAAGGCACUUUUCACACCUUGCAUGGUGGAAGCAGCACGACACAUCUCACCAUCCCCUUUCCAUUGUGUGCAGCAUGCCCUGCCCUUCCAGAGCACGCAGAGAAGAUUAACACCACCUGACACAGCAGCAGCUCCCUGACAGGGCUUCCUGAGGUAUUUUGUGAGUGCCACAAGAUUCAGAAAACCUCUAAGGCAGGAGAGCUCCGAGCCUGCCUCACCCGUGUGGGUGGAUGGAGCUUGGAGGAUGUGUGGUGCUGUGUGUUUCAAGGCCAAGCACUCAGAGAUGAUGGUGCCUCAGGUUUUAACUUUUAUAUUUUUCAGAUUCUAU